UGGUUGCUUAAGCAAAUGCAUCCAACUAGAUCGUCCUUGUGCUGAAUAAUUGGAUAUCGUAUCCACUUAAAGCUGCCUUGUGUAGUACGUCUUUGUGUCUCUCUUUAUAUUCCAAUAAGGUCGGUGAUCUUGAUGCCACACACUCAGAUGUGUGUUCAUCUCCAGAUACUACUCCAUGCUACCUGCCCUUUGUGUUUUGUUCAAUAACUGGGUAUCAUAUCCCAGCCAGUAUGCCGUCUGUUUUGUGUUUGUUUCCUUCUAGUUCCAAAGGGGUCAUCAUGAUGUUACCUUCUUUCAAUAUGGUGCUUUGCAUGACUACUGUUGUAUGGUACCAUCUUGUGGCCAAUAAGUACAUCUUAUCCUAUGACCUUUGCUAUGACCCUUUGCAAAUAAGUAGAAGAUUGUUAUAAGCGUCAAUACUCCGUAUAAAUUGAUCGCUGCUGUGAGUUCCCUUUCAGCUUAUCGUAGGCAUACAUUAUUGCUAGCACGGUAAAGCCAACCAACACGAAUGAUGAAGUAAACGUAGCGGUACUUCUGUAUACCAACACCCUUACUUAAAUGUACCGGUGUCAUUCCCUACUGGCACAUAUAUUCUUAUAUGCUAGCCAGCUUGUAAAAUUAACCAAUUAAAAUAAUUAUUUCAAGAUAGAAAUAACUUAUCGGUUUCUGGAAGCAUGUGUAAUGUGAAUUCAAGGACUCGACGGAAGUUGAAUCACUUCAUCUAUAUUGCUUUCAGUAUUUUGGGUAACUAAAUUUAACAUUUGCACAUACAAAUGUUAAAGUACAAAUGUUAAAUCUAGUUACCCAAGCAGAAUAUGAAGAUAGUUUAUAGUAUAUAUAUACUAUAUAAAUCUAGUUAACAUUUAGUCUAAAUGUUAAAUCUAGUUACCUAAAAUCCUGAAAGCAAAAUGUAUAAAUAUAUAUCUUUUAAGGCAGUAUAAGCUUCGAUUCCUAUUGCUGCUCUGUUAAAUCUCAUCUUUCGUUGUGGCCCAACACUCUAGUAUGCAUGUUGCACCAAGCUUCUUUGAGCCGCUCUGCCCUCUGAUUUUGCUGCGUAGGGGAAUCUUUAUCAGGUUGGGCUACUUCCAGUUGUGCGAUGUAAAGAUUCGUAUUUUCUAGAAGGUAGACAAAAAACUCGCGUUCUCUUAAGGCAACAACCGGAAGAUUCUGCAGCGCACAGGGCAUACCAUUAUUGUAGAAACGACCUUUAGUACCGAUCUCCAACCCCCUUUAAAACUGGUUUUGCAACCGGUACCGUUAUGUCGGUCCUUUAGUACCAGAUCAAAUAAGUACCGGUUGGUAACCAGUAUCAACUUGUUUUGCGGCCAAAAAAAUAAAGAAAAAAACAGUCAGAAGGCUCGCGCACACGCGCAUCACAUGAAAUAUGCGUGUGCGGGGUCCAUGGGAUUCGAACCCAUGAAAUCAAGCUGCGCGCGACCCUUCGUUACCAUCUCACCUACAUAGCGCAUAUGCUUUCCUGAAGUAACCCGUGGAGGAGGCUUUAGUACCGGGUCAUAACACCACCCGGUACUAAAAAUGACUCUUCAGUACCGGGUCAUAACACCACCCGAUACUAGUAUCGGAUGGUGUAAUGACCCGAUACUAAAAGGCCUCUAGGGACCCUCAAAUUUGAACCCGGUACUAAUGCUAAUAUUAGUAGCGGGUCAAAGUGCAGCCAGAACUAAAGCAUGGGAUGAAAGGUCAUAUUUCUAGUAGUGUAUAGUUGUUGUGAAGGACUGACUUGGCUGUCCUCUCUCUUCUCCAUCCCCUUGGUCUUACGCCGCCGCUCGCACGCGAGCCGGUGCCCAACCAGAGGAGUGAGAGCUAGGGGCAGGUUGGGAGGUGGGGAUAGUGACUGGUGGCCAGGGUGAUGGUUGAUCCUGGUGGGGUUAGGGUUUUAGGGUUUUCGAGCUUCCUAUGGUCGGCGAACCUAGAGGAGGAGCUCAACAUCAGCUGCAACCCGCGAUGGUGGUGGUUUGGCCGGCGCCCGAGGCGAGGCAGCGCGGGAGUGCUGCCGGUGGGUUGGUGUUGGCACUCAUUAUUGACAACUAUUUUGUUCAUAAAAUAACACUCAAACUUGCUGCUGCUGCUGCUGCUGCCAUCGCCACCCUAGCCAUAAUAUAAAGGCAAAAUUUGCUAAAGGACAUGCAAAAUGAUGCUAGUUUGCUGGCGGGCAUCGUUGACCUUGUAAUAUGCUACAAGACACUCUAGUUGUGUAUCAAUUUGCUGAAAGACAUUGCUAUGACUAAAAUAAUGUUUCUGGACUGAGUUGGAGAGAGAGAUGGAGUGAAAUGUCUGUUUUGCCCAUGACCCCACUGGUCAGAUCCUUCUUCUUCCACCCUCCUUUGUUCUUUCUUCAACCAUUACCCAGCUCCAGCGUGUUGCAGAUCUACGAGGGUGGCGGCCUGGGGCGAGGGGCAUCGCUCGCCCUUGGAGGAGCGCUGCGAGCGACGGCGCGGGGGCGGCAACAGCGCGUCAGAACCUGACUGUUCGUUAGCUCCUCUCGCUGCUGGGGAAGGAGGGGGAUGGGCCAUGGACGGGGUUCCCUUGAAAACCUCAGCGUCGAGCUCGGGCGGCUACGCGCAGGCAGCACUAGGCUGCUUCACGGGGAGGGGGCGCGGCCAAUCAUUGGCACCCCACUGGUCCAAUGCUGAUGAAGAUGGUGCCAGCGUCGUGUGAGGACAUCUCAUCUCCUCGAGUUCCAUGGCCAGCACAGGUGAGCUGCCGCUACCACAAAACAGAGGUUUCGUGAGAGUCAAAAAACCUUAUGAAAAUAGCUAAAACCAUCAUGAAAAUAAUCCGUGACAUGACACUCUCACGAAAAUCCUCUCACAAAUAUGGUGCCAUGAAAAUACCAUUUUCAUGAGAGUGAACUGUCAUGAUUUUAUUUCGUGAGAGUAUUUCCUAUCAAUGACCUCCACGAAAUACUUUGUGCCACCAGGUCUUCAAGAUCAUUUUCAUGAGAGCUGAACAUCAGGAAAAGUCCGCCACAAAUGUUUUUCUUGGAGCCCCUAACUCUCAUGAAAAUCAUGCGGGCCGCCACGAAAAACAGCAUGACCAAAUGACAAAUUUCAUUUUCAUGUGUUCAUACCGCCAUGAAAAUGGUCAUUUUCAUGAGAGUUGAUGAAACAAAAAAUAGUGCCAUUUUCAUGAGAGUUCAAGCAACCAGGAAAAGACACUAAUAAACAUCCAGAUCCCAUCCAGCACACAUCCAUGCACAUAUAUAACCCACAUAUUGCUCCAGCACACAUCCAUGCAUAUACAAGAUCCAAAUGUUAAUAUAGUAGACAUCCAUGCCUGAACUAGUCUGCCACACAAGUCAUUGAUGCUACAAAUCCUACAAUCGCAGCAUGUGCAUACAAGUCACAGAAUGAGACAAUGUACCCAAAACUAAAAGGUUAGCAUCAACUGUGCUUCAACCAAAGUUGUCAUCCCAACUCUCCUCUUCAUCCAUGCCAUUCUUGUCGUGGCCGUCACUGUCAGUCCCCAUGGCAUUGCCAAUGCUGUGCAUGUCUUGGUAGGAACCUACAUGUGAUGAACUAGUAACCUGCAAAAAGAGCUCAAAGGAUCUUGUUCUCAUAUUGUAGCUGUGAAAUUCUUACAAGUAGUGUUGCAAUCAGUUCACUUUGAACCAAAAGAGCUCAAAGGAUCUUGUCCUAAAAGUUCCUCAUAAAGCUUAUGGGUUUGCUGGUGGAACUGGAAGGGCUUGAUGCAGCAGAUGCCAUUCUGCAAUAGAGAAAAAUUUAGAGAGCAGUACUAGUUAAAAUUGGAUGCAGAAGAUACACAUGAAACUAGUAUUUAUACAAGUCUAUACAAUUAAAAUCUAAGGAGACUUAUCAUCGUUUUCAUGUGUUGUGAAUUAAAAUAAUGAAGGAUACACUGUUAGGUGAAAAUUCAAGAAACAAAAUUUUGCAUAGAGAUAAAGGUCCAACAUUAUUACAAGUUAAGGUAGUUUUAAAUAUCCUUGUAAUCUUCCUUUGGUUUCCUCAACGAUUCGAAGACAAUAACCUUGCUUCUAUCAAUGAUAAUUAUAAGGAGAAUCCAGUGGAAACUGUGUAUUCGUAUUAGAACUACCUAAGGUUAAUUAGGUUAGGAAAGGAAAUUGAAAAUAGAUGGUACCCACACUUACUUAAAGUUGUCGGGCAAUAGUAUGUAAUGCUUGUAAUUCCGUUGCUCCAAGAAUUUGUAUAUGUGGUCCAAUGUAGACUUUGGUUGAUCCCGUAUCUGCUGUUGGUUAAAUAAGUGUUUCUAGCCAUUUCUAGCCAUUAGAACCGGGACUAAAGGGGGCUCUUUAGUACGGGUUGAUAUUACUAACCGGGAUUAAAGAGCCCCCAUUAGAGUUGGUUUUUGGAUGCGGAACUAACAACUCCUUUAGUCCUGAGUACGAAAACAACUGACAUAUUUGUUGCUGGAUGGAAGGUCCUUUCUCUACCGUGAAUAUUGCCAGAAAGAAUUGAAAGAGACUGCUUGCUAAAAAUAUGUCAUAGAUGUAGACCAAGCUACCAAGGAGGUAGACCAAACAUGAUACACACCAUGCGUACCUUGCUGUGCAGACUAUGCAUUGACAAGAUACCCGACCACAUGUUGGCCUCGGUCACAUCAAAAGAAUCAUGUAGGCCACCAAUAAACUACUUGAAGCGGCAUUCCGUAUCGUAUAUGCAUUGCCGGUUCAUCUGCAUUACAUUACAUAAAGCACUAUUAACUAUUUGAAUAAAAUGAACCAAUUUAAAAGUAAUGUGUUGUACUCUACUAUAGAAAGCCCUAUCACUGCCGGAUCCAAAAACAUCAUUGUUAAUGGUGGUUAAGUACCAAAUAUGACGGUCAAUAUUCUCAAGAAUAAUGGAGAAUUAGCAUUUCUUAGACACAUAUUUGGUUUUGAACAAUGUAGUUCCACAUGUCUUUGGAGAUUAUUUGGGUGUGGGUGAAAUAAUACAAAAAUAAGGAGAAAACACACUCCCAUGGCGAAGAAACACAACUCCAACCAAUGAGAGAUAGCCACAGGGGCAGCACACGGAUCCAUGGGCCCACUAACCGCAUCAAACCAUCUUACCAAGGCAGGUAGCACCCACAACCGUCAUUAGGACCCACCUGGAAGUCUACCAAGAAGAAGGUUGCGAGUGGGGCCAGGAGGGGUUCGGUUGAAUCAUCUCUAGCUAGCUCCCCUCAUCCCCAGCUGGUGGGUGGUGGUGGUUGAUGGUGUCCCUACAUCAGUUAGAGGAGAUUCCCCCAAAUAUUCCUCCUGUAAACCACCUCUAUGGACCUAUACAUAGAGGGGUGUGCUCUCCAUUCCAACACACACCACAAGUUGAAUCACUCUCUCCCUCUUUAGUUUCCAAGUUUAUGGAGUUAGGCUAGAGUAGCUCUGCUCAAGGUUCCAAGUCCACUUGGAGUUAAGCAUAUGUCUCUUGUAUCGUUAUUUCCUAAAUUGACUUUAUGCUUAGUUCUUAUAUGCAUGAGUUAGUCUAAUACCCUUGCUAUAUUGAUAUGCUCGGCUUAUAUGCUCGUAUGCUAGUCAUAUACCCUUGCUGUCGUAGUAUAGGCUUAUAUGCUCUCAUGUGUGCCUGUAGACCUUGCUAUAGUAUAUACUUGUUGUGCAUACAUACCAUGUAUAGGCUAGUCGAUCUAUACCAUGGCAUUGGUUCAAUAGCCAUGUUUUUGGUGGCUCCAACCCUAGUCACAAUAGCUCGGGACAGCUGGAGUGUUGUUAAAAAUGCAAGAGUGGUGCUUGGGUUGUUUAGCAUCGUUGGAUAUGGGUUUGCCCCACGGGUUUCUAACGGUAGGCGGCAGCUAGUGACAUCCCUGUCCGUCCUUCGUAAUCCCCCCACAUUCAGGUACGCCAUAAAUGUUCGUAAAUUAGCAGUAACUACGCCGGUACACCUGUAGGGUAUUGUCUCCCUGUAGUACCUUGGUGCAUAGAACUAAGUCCUAUACACUGUGUGUGUAUGUUUACGCUGAUAUGAUCUGUGCAGUAUAUAGGAUGUAUAUAUGAACCUAGAGCUAACUCCUAGUCCGUUCUCCAUAGCUUAGUUAUCUUGAGAUGAUUCUUCUGUAUGUGUAACACUACCCAUCUUAUCAUUAUCCUUGAUCCUGUCUUGUGUAAUAUAUCUACUCAUCCUAUGAUAUACUCAUAUGCAUAGUAAACUAUUUUGACCUACCCGCCUUCCUUUGGGAAAUAUGAUACCUUGGAAUAAUCCUAGGUGAAAUCCUACAACGGUAUAUCCAUGUAAAUGCGGAUUUAUUCAUGACCAUUAAAUAUACCAACAAUCAUCACUGUGAGUUUUGGGCGUCGUUAGUGAAGGGUUGGUAGUGAUGGGCAUCCCCUUCACCAAUGGACCUGGAACCGGCGGUGAUGGCUAUUAUAAAAAAGGGGACACCACCCAGCGUACCCCACGACCCGGCCGGCCGCACCUCCCAUCAUCCCCGCCAGCCGCCCUUCCUUUUCGCCGGCCGAGCAUGGUCCCGGCCUUUGUCCCUACCACCUCGCCUCCACCGCGACCCCCCGCCGAUGCCCUCGUGCCUGGCCCCCCUCAUCUUGCCGGCCACCCUCCCGAUGCGUCCACUGGGGCCCUCGCACCACCAACCGCCCUUGCUUAGAGAGGGAGAGAGAGGAGGGAGGUGAGGCCACGCACCUCGUCCUACACCGCCGCUGUUUCUCCUCGGCCCACCGCGCCUCACCCCACACCACAGCCGCGCCUUGCCAUCUUACCGGCUGUGACGCCUCAUCUCACCGGCCACCGUUCCUCACCCCCACUUCGGUCGUCGCCGCUCCUUGCCCUACCGCUGCUCUUUGCCGCUGCGAAUGAGCGCCGAGUGGAGGAGGAGGGAUGGGGCAGGAGGAGGGCAAGAUCCGGGAGGAAGGGAGAGAUCUCGGGAGGUGGAGAUGGAAGGAUAUGGCGGAAGGGAGAGAUCCAGAGGGAGAGAGCAGGGGAGAGAGGGGGGCGUGUGGGGAGAGAGCGCGUGUGGGGUGGGGCCGGGCUGGUGGGAUGGAAGGGAGAGGGGCUAGACGGGCGCAGUGCAUUCAACUGGAUGAAGUAAAUAUUUUGGAUUCGAGACCCCAGCUUUAUUAUCACCGCUGGUCCGUAGUACCAUCCGGUGCCUGCUCGUAAUUUAAUUUGAAUCUGCGGUGAUGUUUUAUUAUCACCAUCGGAUCAUAUAAAAAUCCGGCGGUUAAAAAUCCGCUGGUUUCGAUGAAAACCGACGGUGAUAGGAUGACUGUGAUAGUCUCUUCUCUAGUAGUGGUAUAUUAGUACCGGCUGCCGGAUGGUGUUGCCGACCAGUACUUCUCCGGGGGCGAUUCAGUACUGCUGUUAGCAAAGCUUGUUCUCUAUGAAUUUGGGGAUGGAAAGCUAGUUCUCUAGUUGUGAUUUGUUACAUAUAUAUCUAUGAUAGUCUAGAAAUUGCAUGUCCUUCGUUGACAUAGUUGAAGCUGCUUCAAGAAUUUACUUCGUGCAGUCGUGCAGCAUAUUGGAUUAUCACCUAGACAGGAUACAUAGGUGAAGCAUUGGAUGUGAUUGUGGCCGAUAAUUAUGCAGGACGCUGUUGCAAUCAACCACCAAGAAGUCUGGAGUGAUGGGGUUGCCUCAUCAAUAAUUUUUAUAUAUGGCUGCAGUAUUAUUAAGCCCACGUCAAUAAUUUUUUGUCCGCACCAUAUAUCGAUGGGGUUGCCUCAUCAAUAAUUCGCGCAACCAGACAAGCUGCAGACUCAAUAUGGUACGAAGCUAGUUGCUCAGCCCACAUGCUCUGAUAUAACAUUGACAUCUGCUGAUCUACAGUAUAUAUGACCAGAAAUAUUGUGCCCACCUCAAUAACUUUCUGAAGUAUCGUGGGGAAGAACCUACGCGUACUAUGCCUCGGAACUAACUGACAUAUCGGCCCAGGCGGUCUAGGCCGAUUGGACUGGCUCUUCCUUGUGGCUUCUCACAUCCCCUUCGUCCCCAAGUAAUUUCAGGUGUUCUGUAGUUUUCUUUUCACUUGCAUCUGAGCCUCCUAUAUCAAUAGCUUCGGGAUAAGAAUGCCUCUUGAUAACCUUCCAAAUCCUCGCUUGAUUCACAUUGAUUCCGAAAUCAUCUUGCCAUAUCUUCAGAGACUUAGGUCCUAAGGCAUCAUGGAGGAUUGCUCGCCAAGAAUGAGCACCAUUGGGCUCCUGAGGACCCUAGGCCGAUCAGCCCGGGCUCUAUAGGUCGAUUGGCCCAGGCCCUCUCUGGGCCUGUUGGCCUUCAUCUUUCUUUGAGUCGACGCUUAUUCAGGGCUUUGUCCAAUUAUAGUCCAUUAUAGUCUAAUUUCCUAAAAAACAGAAUGUCCUCCAAAAUACAAUGCAUAUGUGAAAACAACCCAAUUAUUAGGUAUGAUCAAUAGUUUAGGUAUUAAAUUAAUAUUAUUAUUUAAGAUAAACAGGGGUAAAGGGUGUCAUUAAUAACAAGCGCCAACAAGCGUCCUAGCUGUUCAAUAAAUUUUUUCUAGUACCGAUUGGUAACACUAACCGGUGCUAAUAUGUACCCUUUAUUACCGGUUAUUUUACCAGGUACUAAAGGAGACAAGAGCAUCCUAACAUAAGGUUAAUAUCAUCCAUUUCAUGAGUAAAAUACUAUGAUUCAAAAAUAAUUCAAAUCCCUUAAGACAAUACCUAUCAAAUGAGUAAAUUGUAAAUAGAGUAAUCUUGAUCAAACAAUGUCCUAAUGAAACGGAACACUUCUGGUUCGUGUAGAGCACAAUAUAGAAAACAGUAGGGUAGCUGUAUGAUUGACACGUGGUCCAUUAAUUAUUGAGCCAACACUAUGGACAUGUCUUCAUGAGUAGUGUACUAGUCAUAAUACAUGGUAUGCAGUAGGUGGAGGUAUUGACUUAGCCAUGCUAUGAGCACUUAGUUACAACAAACACUUUGCCAUUAUCGAGCAUCCCAAAUCACUACAAAAUCCAUAGUUUACCAUAUACUACAAAAUCUGAGUUAAAAUAAGAGCAUACACGGAAGAGUCCGAAUGCACGGCACAUUGAAUUACUAGACAAAAUUUAUGGGACAAGGUUUUGGGUAACCGCAUGAAAAAUAUUGGAUUUUACUGAACACUUAGUUACAAUUACCAUGCCCGUGAGCACUUAGUCACCACAAACAUUUAACCACUUUAGAUCAUCCUGAAUCCCUAUAAAUUCUAUACCUUACACCGUACCAUGAAAACGACAAGAACAGAGACAGAUGCGGUGAAAAUCUCCAGAGCAAGCCUGAAAUUAAAAUAAGAGGAGGCAGUCACUAUCGACAGGACACGGAGAUUGCUAGCCAUGACAGAGGAAGACAUGAUAUGAUAUUCACCUCUGAAAUGCAGCGUAGACUAAAUGAAGCACAAUUGCAAGUGAGUGUGGCAGAUAAUGGACCAUCGAGACCAUCGAAUGGUAUGAAGCAUGAUUAUCACCUAGACAUGAUAUCCUAGACAGGACGGUGAAUUGUAAAAAGAGUAAUCUUGAUCAAAGAAUGUCCUAAUGAAACGGAACAUUUUUGGUACGUGUAGAGCAAAAUAUAGAAAACAGUAGAGUAGUUGUACGAUUGAAACUGCAUCCAUCGACGUGGUGCAUGAAUUGUUGAGCCAACACUGUGGACAUGUCUUCAUGAACACCAUCUAGUGAGGACAGCAUGCAGAAAAAUAUAAAAACAUGUCAUAGGGAGGCAGACCAAUCUUGCGAGGUAGACGAAACGUGAUACACGAUCUGCCUACCUUGUCGUGUGGAUACCCCAAGUGAAGAUGUCAUAGAGGUGCAGACCAAGCUAGCAAGGAGGUAGAUGAAACGUGAUACACGGCCUGCCUACCUUGCCGUGGAUAUUAGUCCUGAUAUCAUUCUAUUGUUCAAGGAAUAACACUCAAUGCUGCUGCUGCUGCUGACCUGGCUCCAUAAAGUUAUAUUCCUCUAGCCGCUUGCACUAACUUUAUCUGAAGUAUUAUUCUCUCUGCACUGUAUAUAUGGUUACGGAGUUUGCUGGAGUAUCCGGGGGGAAGAACCUACAUAAUAUGUCUUGGAACUAACUGACAUUGAUUCACAGACAAGGUGCUGUUGUUGACAUGGUACAGUAAAUAAUAUAGUUUACCAUAUACCGUAUACCAUUAUAUGUUAGCUAAAAUAAGAGCAUAACAUGUCGCAGGAGUCCAAAAGCACCGGUUGAGGACCAGGUACAUUAAAUUACUAGAAAACAAAAGGGGACAAGGUUUAGGUAGCCACAUGAAAAACAUUUGAAUUUACUGUACCAUGAACACUUAGUUACCAUGCCGGGAGCACCUAGUUAACACUAACAUUUAGCCACUUUAGAUCAUCCCGAAACACCAAUGACCCUCAAUAGCGACAAAUUUUGGUUUAAAUGCCGUCACCAAUGAUCCUCAAUAGUGACGUGUUUAGGUUUAAAUCCCAUCACUAAUAACCCUUGGUAGUGACGUGUUUUGGUUUAAAUCUCAUCACCACUGAUCCUCACUAGUGACGUGUUUUUAGCAACACACGUUAUGAAUGACUUGUCAUUGGUGACAUGUUAAACGCGUUAUCUCAAUGGCAAAUCAAUGGUGACGUGUUUAAAAAAACAUGUCACUGUGAGAGUUAUUGGUGAAGGGUAAUUAAAAUGCAUCACUAAUUUUGUAGCAUUAGUUAUGAUAUAAUUUUGUAACGCAAAAAUCUACCAUAGUAAUGAGGUUUAGAGCCAUCACUAAUGUGGGUUUCUUAUCGUAGUGAUGCAAGCUCUACAAGGUGCUGUUGUUGCCAUUUUAAAGCAUCCCAAAUGACUACAAGAGUCCGGUUGAGGACUAAACAAAUUGAAUUACUAGAACCAAAUGUAUGUCCAGAACAAAGAAAGGGGUCAAGGUUUGGGUAACCGCAUUAAAAACAUUGAAUUUUACUGUACCAUGAACACUUAGUUACCAUUACCAUGCCUUGAGCACCUAGUUACCACAAACAUUAAUUUAGCCACUUUAGAGGUUCCACAAUCACUAUAAAUAAUAUACCAACACCGUACCAUGAAAACAUCAAGAAGAGAGACGGGUACAUGGACCACCAUCAAGUGAGUAGUGACAGCACGCACAAGAAUACCCGGAACCUUUUAGCUUGUCUGUAGUGAUCUGUUUUCUUCGCCACAAAUAAUGAAAGAGGCUGACCAAGCUAGCAACGAGGUAGAGCAAACGUGAUACACGUAGGUUUCAUUCAAGACAUCCAUGUAAGAUUCAUUCAAAACAUUCAUGGAAAUUUCUUGUAAGUUUUCAUGUAAAUUUCAUUCAAGACAUUUGUUAGAGGUGUUGUAUAUACACUUAACGUACAUAUAUCUAUGAUUUCAUGGUUGUUAGUGAUGGCAGAUGAGGAGCAUGCAAGGUGUUUAAUGGAGCAGAUUAUUGCUAGUGGUAGUGGCUCCAACCUGCCCGUAACGUACACCGACGAAGAGGGCAGCCAGGCGGACAUGUUCCUCAACAUGUCCGGUGAUGGCAAUGAAGAGCCCGAGCAAAACCUUGCCGUGACGGAAGGUUCCAUCGAGGUAUAUAUCAUUUCCAUUAUUUUACCCCAUCUAUAAUUUCAUAUUCAUUAUUACUAUGUGCUAAUUAAUGAAUCUUGAACCGUUAGUCCUCUAGAUCAACGAACCGAAAUAAGCCCCGAGGUCUUACAAAGAUAAUGCAGGGAAGGCUUCACAUCAUGGAAGUCACAGAAGAGGGCACAUCGGUUGCUCCCGAACAUGUGGCAAGAAAGUACGUGAGUCAAACCGGGGCAAUCGUAAGGGACAACAUGCCCAUCAGCAUCAGGGAAUGAAAGAGCAAUAGAAAUGAUCUAUACGCACCCCCGGAUACACAAAAGGAUAUGUUGUGGGCAAAUAUCAAGAAACACUUCACAUUUCCCAAAGGAUAUGUUGAAAAAUAUGUGAAAGCGUGGAUGUUGAAGAAGAUGGCCACCCAAUUCCAGACAUUCAAGAAGAUGUUGGAUGCCAACUUCAUCAAGAAGGGUCGAACUCCGGGUUUCAAUGAGUGGCCAAAGUUAAGGGACCACUGGGAGUCGUUUGUCGAAUACAAGACGAGCGAAGGUGGUGCGAGUAAGGUUCACAUCAAUGUUGCCAAUGCUAGCAAGGAGUACCAUCAUCAUCUAGGGCGACGUGGUUACAGCUCUGCAAUUCCCAGAUGGCGCAAGAUGGAACAAGACCUGAUCGAUCGGGGUAUCGUACCAGCAACUCUUGACUGGAUCGAUUGAAAAAUUGGUAUUAUGCUCAUGAAGGCAAUCUGAGCCAAGAGGAUCCGACAUUGGUCUUCAAUAAAACAAUACGUCAGAAGGUCGGAAGGCUUAUUAGGAACAUUGAAGAUGCUAAAGCUGGGAGGUUCAAGGUGGAUAGAGAGAAUGAUGAACUCACAUUGGCCCUCGGGACUGUCAUCUCUAGCACUUCCAGCUCCAGGACUAUCGUCACCACCGGGACCGUCGCUUCCUGCUCGAUCACAGUCUCCAUCUCCAGCACAUCCUGGUGGUGCGAGCGACGACGACAACAACACCCCUCCCUGCCCACCAUUGCCGGGACUAAGACCCGCAUUGAGUAAGGAACCUGCAACACCACUGAAGAAGUCGCGACCACCACCUUCAAGGCAAGUCAGCAAAAGAAGAAAGCAGAGAAGCCUAAACCCACUGAGAAGCCAGCGACUGAUAUGACCGAUGCGGAAAGAUGGAAGGCACUCAAAGAAGAAUGCAGGGAGUGGUUCAGCGAAGGCGAAGGUGAGAAAGUCGUAUGAAUCGAAUUCAAGGAUAUAUAUGAAGUGAACCAUCAGGAUGCCCUUGAUGUCUCUCUCAUCAGCGCCUAGGUUCUGUAAGUGUAUGUUUAUCUAUAAGUAAAUUUUGGCUCAUAUCAUUAUUUUUUUUGCGUGCGUCACCCUACUAACUUCGUCUUCCAUUUUAUGUAGGAUGCUAAUUCAGACGUGCCGCAUAGAAGCGUACUUCCAUGUUGGAUUCAUGGAUCCAUCCCUAGUUAACCAAAAGCCGAUACGGAAGUAGCUAGAGAAAACGUUGGAGGUGGUGUACAACCUCCUGGACAAACUAAACUACAGAAUAGGGGCAAUAUGUGAGGGUCUUGUAGGAUUCCUAGUGGACGAGGUGAUAAAUCCAUAAGGAGAAUAUCAUUCCAACGGACGAGCAUUAGACACACUGAGCAACACCUAGAUGGGAGGAUCCUAGGAAUGACCUCGACAGAUUUUGGUAUAAAUAGUAAUUGUGUAAAUACUAGUUUGAUUUGUAUAGGAAUAUACUAAGAAUUGUAUAUAUAGUAAUUGUACAAAUACUAGUUUGAUUUGUAUGAAUACUAGAUUGAUUUUAUUAUAAAAAAGUUUUAAGUCGUACGUGCAUGCGCCUACAAAGGCGCGGAUGCCUUUUAAUCCCAGUCGGAAAAACAAACUGGUACUAAAGGGGCUCGUGCCGCACCUGGCAUGACCACCCCUUUAGUCCCGGUUGAACGACCCAGGACUAAAGAUCUCCGCGUCUCAAAAAUUUUAUCUCGGAUGCUUUUUAGAGAGAUUUGAGGCCUAUCAACCAAGACUAAUAUCGAGUUUUCUACCAGUGAAACUAACUAACGUUCACAUGGUUUUGACAUUCACCUGCCAUUUGGUGUAGACAAGGGCACCCUAACAUAUGGUUAAUAUUAUUCUUGAAAGAAAAUCCUUUGAUUCAAAAUACUUCAAACCUAAUAAUACAAUACUUCUCACAUCUGAAAAAUAUGAGACGGCCCGACAGUAUUCUAAUCGACGCAAUAAUAUUUUGAGGGCAGCACUACUACAGCGACCCUCAUUCGUGCCGGUGCUGGGACUCCUAUCACGACCCUGAUACAAAUGAGGGUACAUUAUUGGUGCCAGUGCUAGAACAGCCACGAAUAACUUGCUAAACGUGCUGUUACACUCACUACAGGGACCAAGAAGGUAGAUAAAUUACACGACAUAGCCUUGGUUGCCGUGGAAGCGCCAAGAAGGGAGACAAAUUACAGGGACCACACCAUCAAGUAGAUAGUGACAAUAUGCAAAAGAAUACCCGCGCCUGUUAGCAUGUGAACUGACCACACCACGAAACGUGAUACACGGCAAGCGUACCAAGGCCUUGCUGUGCAGACUAUGCAUGGACAACACAUGGUACCUGACCGCUUUUGGCCUCAGACACAUCGAAAAACUGCAUCGUUCCACGUUGUACAUCCAUUGCUAGUUUAUCUAUAUUACAUAAUAUAUUAUUAGCUAUUUGAAUAGAAUGAACCAAUUAAAAAAUUGCGUUGUAUUUUUAGUACCGGCUGCAGGAUGGUGUUACCAACCAGUACUAAUUGGCCUGUAGGAGUGAUGGUUAUUAGACUUGGUACUGUUGUUAGCAUCAUUAACCUAAUUGUGCGCCGUAUGAAUUUGGGGAUGCAAAGCUAGCUCUCUAUGAAUGUGAGGGAUGGAAAGCUAGUUCUCUAGUAGUAAUUAUAUAUAUGACAGUCAAGAAAUCGAACACUAUGCUGCUACGAGUCACCAUCAUUUCCUUCAUUGACAAUCUGACAUAGGUGAAGCUGCUUCAAUAAUUUCCUUCGCGCAGUCGUGGAGCUUAUUGGAUUAUCACCAGGACGGGACACGGAAAUGGCCAGCAAUGAAGCUGAUUGCCGUCUGAGGAAGACUACAUACUUACCUAUGAAAUGAAGCGAUUGCAUAGACUAAUGAAGCAUUGCAUAUUUGCAUGUGAGUGUGGCAGAUAAUUCUGCAGGACAUGAUUGCAAUCCACGCACCAUCGAGAAGACUGGGGCGAUGGGGUUGCCUCAUCAAUAAUCACGUGGAUGCAUGCAUGCAUGUUCCCGCAACCGGACAAGGGUCUGAUAUAUGGCUAUAGUAUUACUGAGCCCACAUCAAUAAUUUCCACUGGUGUAUCGUGUGGGAAGAAUCAACAUACUACACCUCGAGUUCUUGGAACUAACUGACGUUCACAUGCAACCUCCACAAGGUGCUGUAUGCUUUUGACAUUCACCUGCCAGUUCGUGUAGAGAAGGACACCCUAACGUAUAGUUAAUAUUAUCCAUUUCAUGAGUAAAAUACUGUGAUUCAAAAAUACUUCAAAUCCCUUGAGACAAUACUUCUCACUUGACUAACCACUAACCAACCCCGAAACCCUAACUCAACUCCGAACCCUAACCCCUAACGGCAUAACCACUCCGUUUUGCCGGCGAGAUGGAGGAACUGGCUGGAAGGUAGAGAGGGCAGCGGUCCAGGGUUGAAAACGACGGGCGAGCGCAGUAACAUGUGGAGGAGGAAGUGCCACGUAUUCGUUCACCGCUAUUGGGCAGCGACACACGACACGCCCAAUAAGAUCUUCGCACGGUAGAAGGACGUCAUGUAUUCAAUAAUGUUAUUGGUCCCCCAUGUGCAGAAGGGCGCGCGCGUAUGGAAUAACAAGUAGGGACACUGCAACUAAUCUACUCUGCUCGUCCAGUCCCUAGCCUAUAAAUAGAUGCCAUGCUAGCUCUUGUUGUGCUCACAAUUAAUCCGAUUACACACGAGCUUCUCUCCCUGGCCAAGACACAACCAUAGUAUGAUGAAGAACAUGGCACUAGCCGGCAAUGGUAUGAAGAAGUUAAUCCUCGCUGUUCUCUUACUGUGUCUAGUUAUAGGGCAGAUACAAGUGGAAGCUAAGAGCUGCUGCCCAUCCACCACUGCAAGAAAUGUCUACAAUACCUGCCGUUUCACGGGUACAUCCCGUCCAACGUGUGCAAAACUGUCAGGCUGCAAAAUUAUCAGCGGGAACAAAUGCAAGCCCCCUAACGACCACCUCACCCUUGACCCGGACACUGGUAAAUAAUAAAUUUAUCUCACUUGAUUUCUUCGUGAUUUGAGUCGUUAAUGUAUUUUCCAUCUGAUGAAACGUAUUGGUUUUGCAUUGAAGAGGAAGUUAAUGUGCUUAACUUCUGCAAGUUGGGGUGUGCGUCGUCUGUGUGCAACAACAUCAACGCUGGUAAGCAACUUUUGCUCAGACAGAGAAAACAAUAAUCAUUAAUUAGCGGCAGCUAGAAUCCUAUAAUCUAAUAUAUAUAUAUAUAUAUAAUUUUAUCAGCUCUGGGAAAUGAAGAGGCGAACGAUGCCGUUGAGAGUUGCGACCAAGCCUGCUCUAGCUUCUGCAGCGUGCAUGUUGGCAGCGCCACCGUGGUUGCUUAAGCAAAUGCAUCCAACUAGAUCGUCCUUGUGCUGAAUAAUUGGAUAUCGUAUCCACUUAAAGCUGCCUUGUGUAGUACGUCUUUGUGUCUCUCUUUAUAUUCCAAUAAGGUCGGUGAUCUUGAUGCCACACACUCAGAUGUGUGUUCAUCUCCAGAUACUACUCCAUGCUACCUGCCCUUUGUGUUUUGUUCAAUAACUGGGUAUCAUAUCCCAGCCAGUAUGCCGUCUGUUUUGUGUUUGUUUCCUUCUAGUUCCAAAGGGGUCAUCAUGAUGUUACCUUCUUUCAAUAUGGUGCUUUGCAUGACUACUGUUGUAUGGUACCAUCUUGUGGCCAAUAAGUACAUCUUAUCCUAUGACCUUUGCUAUGACCCUUUGCAAAUAAGUAGAAGAUUGUUAUAAGCGUCAAUACUCCGUAUAAAUUGAUCGCUGCUGUGAGUUCCCUUUCAGCUUAUCGUAGGCAUACAUUAUUGCUAGCACGGUAAAGCCAACCAACACGAAUGAUGAAGUAAACGUAGCGGUACUUCUGUAUACCAACACCCUUACUUAAAUGUACCGGUGUCAUUCCCUACUGGCACAUAUAUUCUUAUAUGCUAGCCAGCUUGUAAAAUUAACCAAUUAAAAUAAUUAUUUCAAGAUAGAAAUAACUUAUCGGUUUCUGGAAGCAUGUGUAAUGUGAAUUCAAGGACUCGACGGAAGUUGAAUCACUUCAUCUAUAUUGCUUUCAGUAUUUUGGGUAACUAAAUUUAACAUUUGCACAUACAAAUGUUAAAGUACAAAUGUUAAAUCUAGUUACCCAAGCAGAAUAUGAAGAUAGUUUAUAGUAUAUAUAUACUAUAUAAAUCUAGUUAACAUUUAGUCUAAAUGUUAAAUCUAGUUACCUAAAAUCCUGAAAGCAAAAUGUAUAAAUAUAUAUCUUUUAAGGCAGUAUAAGCUUCGAUUCCUAUUGCUGCUCUGUUAAAUCUCAUCUUUCGUUGUGGCCCAACACUCUAGUAUGCAUGUUGCACCAAGCUUCUUUGAGCCGCUCUGCCCUCUGAUUUUGCUGCGUAGGGGAAUCUUUAUCAGGUUGGGCUACUUCCAGUUGUGCGAUGUAAAGAUUCGUAUUUUCUAGAAGGUAGACAAAAAACUCGCGUUCUCUUAAGGCAACAACCGGAAGAUUCUGCAGCGCACAGGGCAUACCAUUAUUGUAGAAACGACCUUUAGUACCGAUCUCCAACCCCCUUUAAAACUGGUUUUGCAACCGGUACCGUUAUGUCGGUCCUUUAGUACCAGAUCAAAUAAGUACCGGUUGGUAACCAGUAUCAACUUGUUUUGCGGCCAAAAAAAUAAAGAAAAAAACAGUCAGAAGGCUCGCACACACGCGCAUCACAUGAAAUAUGCGUGUGCGGGGUCCAUGGGAUUCGAACCCAUGAAAUCAAGCUGCACGCGACCCUUCGUUACCAUCUCACCUACAUAGCGCAUAUGCUUUCCUGAAGUAACCCGUGGAGGAGGCUUUAGUACCGGGUCAUAACACCACCCGGUACUAAAAAUGACUCUUCAGUACCGGGUCAUAACACCACCUGAUACUAGUAUCGGAUGGUGUAAUGACCCGAUACUAAAAGGCCUCUAGGGACCCUCAAAUUUGAACCCGGUACUAAUGCUAAUAUUAGUAGCGGGUCAAAGUGCAGCCAGAACUAAAGCAUGGGAUGAAAGGUCAUAUUUCUAGUAGUGUAUAGUUGUUGUGAAGGACUGACUUGGCUGUCCUCUCUCUUCUCCAUCCCCUUGGUCUUACGCCGCCGCUCGCACGCGAGCCGGUGCCCAACCAGAGGAGUGAGAGCUAGGGGCAGGUUGGGAGGUGGGGAUAGUGACUGGUGGCCAGGGUGAUGGUUGAUCCUGGUGGGGUUAGGGUUUCAGGGUUUUCGAGCUUCCUAUGGUCGGCGAACCUAGAGGAGAAGCUCAACAUCAGCUGCAACCCGCGAUGGUGGUGGUUUGGCCGGCGCCCGAGGCGAGGCAGCGCGGGAGUGCUGCCGGUGGGUUGGUGUUGGCACUCAUUAUUGACAACUAUUUUGUUCAUAAAAUAACACUCAAACUUGCUGCUGCUGCUGCUGCCAUCGCCACCCUAGCCAUAAUAUAAAGGCAAAAUUUGCUAAAGGACAUGCAAAAUGAUGCUAGUUUGCUGGCGGGCAUCGUUGACCUUGUAAUAUGCUACAAGACACUCUAGUUGUGUAUCAAUUUGCUGAAAGACAUUGCUAUGACUAAAAUAAUGUUUCUGGACUGAGUUGGAGAGAGAGAUGGAGUGAAAUGUCUGUUUUGCCCAUGACCCCACUGGUCAGAUCCUUCUUCUUCCACCCUCCUUUGUUCUUUCUUCAACCAUUACCCAGCUCCAGCGUGUUGCAGAUCUACGAGGGUGGCGGCCUGGGGCGAGGGGCAUCGCUCGCCCUUGGAGGAGCGCUGCGAGCGACGGCGCGGGGGCGGCAACAGCGCGUCAGAACCUGACUGUUCGUUAGCUCCUCUCGCUGCUGGGGAAGAAGGAGGGGGAUGGGCCAUGGACGGGGUUCCCUUGAAAACCUCAGCGUCGAGCUCGGGCGGCUACGCGCAGGCAGCACUAGGCUGCUUCACGGGGAGGGGGCGCGGCCAAUCAUUGGCACCCCACUGGUCCAAUGCUGAUGAAGAUGGUGCCAGCGUCGUGUGAGGACAUCUCAUCUCCUCGAGUUCCAUGGCCAGCACAGGUGAGCUGCCGCUACCACAAAACAGAGGUUUCGUGAGAGUCAAAAAACCUUAUGAAAAUAGCUAAAACCAUCAUGAAAAUAAUCCGUGACAUGACACUCUCACGAAAAUCCUCUCACAAAUAUGGUGCCAUGAAAAUACCAUUUUCAUGAGAGUGAACUGUCAUGAUUUUAUAAGCGUCAAUACUCGGUAUAAAUUGACUACUGCUGUGAGUUCCCUUUCAGCUUAUCGUAGGCAUACAUUAUUGCUAGCACGGUAAAGAGAACCAACACGAAUGAUGAAGUAAACGUAGCGGAACUUUUGUAUACCAACACCCUUACGUACCGGUGUCAUUCCCCACUGCCACAUAUAUUCUUAUAUGCUAACCAGCUUUGAAAAUUAAGCGAUUAAAAUAAUUAUUUCAAGAUAGAAAUAACUUAUCGGCUUCUCGAAGCUUGUGUAAUGUGAAUUCAAGGACUCGAUGGAAGUUGAAUCGCUUCAUCUAGAUUGCUUUCAGGAUUUUGGGUAACUAAAUUUAACAUUUGCACACACAAAUGUUAAUGUACAAAUGUUAAAUCUAGUUACCCAAGCAGAAUAUGAAGAUACUCUAUAGUAUAUAUGUACUAUAUAAAUCUAGUAAACAUUUAGUCUAAAUGUUAAAUCUAGUUACCUAAAAUCCUAAAAGCAAAAUGUAUAAAUAUAUAUCUUUUAAGGCAGUAUAAGCUUCAAUUCUCUGUUAAAUCUCAUCUUUCGUUGUGGCCCAACACUCUAGUAUGCAUGUUGCACCAAGCUUCUUUGAGCCGCUCUGCCCUCUGAUUUUGCUGCGUAGGGGAAUCUUUAUCAGGUUGGGCUACUUCCAGUUGUGCGAUGUAAAGCUUCGUAUCUUUUAGAAGGUAGACAAAAUACCCGCGUUCUGGAAGAUUCUGCAACGUGCACGUUGGCGCUGCCACCGUGGUUGCUUAAGCAAAUGCAUCCAACUGAAUCGUCCUUAAGCUGAAUAAUUGGAUAUGGUAUCCACUGCUUAAAGCUGCCAUGUUUAGUACGUCUUUGUUUUUCUCUCUUUAUAUUCCAAUAAGGUCGGUGAUCUUGAUGCCACACACUCAGAUGUGUGUUUAUCUCCAGAUACUACUCCAUGCUACCUACCCUUUGUGUUUUGUUCAAUAACUGGGUAUCAUAUCCUAGCCAGUGUGCCAUCUGUUUUGUGUUUGUUUCCUUCUAGUUCCAAAGGGGUCAUCAUGAUGUUAC
This 20060-nucleotide long non-coding RNA is filed under the name Setaria viridis. Its description in RNAcentral is "long non-coding RNA (SVIR_LNC007217)". The record is from RNAcentral. Lineage: Eukaryota; Viridiplantae; Streptophyta; Magnoliopsida; Poales; Poaceae.